UUUUUAGUGUUGUGUUGUCGCGCGGACCAUAGACUAAAAUUAUGAGAAAAAGACAUUCUAGCUUUUUCGAAAACAAUACUACGAACAAUAAUUUUGGCUUUAUUGGUUUUCGUGGUACAAGAAGUCAUUAAAUUAACAAUCGGGCACCAUAUUGUAACAAAGGAUAUUUCGAGGAUUAAUUGUAUUUGUGACGGAAAAGCAAUUUUUAUAAAGGUGUCUAUUACCAAACAAGGUAAUGCUGAUAUCAGAAGAUUAUAUUUAAAAAUGCAAGAUAGCCCAACCUAAAUUGAAAAAAAAAAAUACUUGGAAGAUUCAGAUAUAACUGCAAUAGACGAAAAAUCACAUCAUUAAUUGUUAUUUUUAUCCAAAGGCCUUUGUUAAAUAAAAUGAAACUCAUCAACUAAUUUUGUAAAGAAAAUCAAGUUCAACAGUAUUAACAACACAAGAACAGUGUUUUUCCCAAAUAGUAACUAUGGAGAAGUGCUAGUGUAAUAAUUUAGAUUUAGAAAAGCAAAAUGAGACAAUAUGAAGACCUAGAAGAAGAAGAACAUUAGACAUGUUGAUGACAAAAAUAUGUUACACAUCAAAUUUUCUAUUAUUCAUUGUUUUAUCAUGUUAAUAAAGAAUUUUUAUUUA
This is a long non-coding RNA of Leptidea sinapis, 636 nucleotides long. RefSeq lists it as uncharacterized. The transcript is spliced from 2 exons. The record is from RefSeq and is a predicted model, not a curated record. Lineage: Eukaryota; Metazoa; Arthropoda; Insecta; Lepidoptera; Pieridae.